UUGUUCUCAGAAUCCACUGGUCAUCAAAAGGCCGCCACACAAAUGCAGCAGGGGGGACGGCCCCUGGCUUAGCUGUGACCCAGCUGUGAGCUCUUCUGUCACGGGAAAAACUCCGGGCAGGCGGUUGCUUUCUGCGUGUGGAAUGUCAGCCGGCCCUGCCUUGGCCUGCCCUUCCUGGAAUCUGGUCCGUCUUUCCCAUCAACUCUGUUUUCCAUUUCUUUCCAGACCACCUUCCUCCAACUGAUCUCCAGGACAGUGUGCACCUGCACGAUUUGCUUUCAUACCUACUACGGGGUUUGCGCCACCUGCGAGGGCCUCCAGCCCCUUGAAGUGAUUGGUUCCGGUUUUGGCGCCUCACCUCGUAGGCCGGCAGGAUCUGAAGGGAAGUCUGCUGGGAACUUACGGGAAAGAGAGUUCUCACUGGUGCGGUGACAGGUGAGAGGGAGCCCUCGUCUUCAUCAAAUGGAUGCCUGGAGUGCAUUCAGCCCUUCCAGCUCCGGAGGCCCCGGCUAAGGGGAUCGUGCAGGCAGAGCAGGAAGCCCUGUGGGAGCACCUGGGCCCGCAUCCUUGGACAGAAUUCCACCUUCAUCUGCUGUGAUGACUCGACCUCCGGUUACUGUUCACCCCAUUCUGUUUCUGCAGGCGACACAGAGUGAGUUCAGAGUUUUCAUUUGACGAUCACAGGGGUCCAAGGCACCACCUCCCUAAAGGUUAAGGAUGUCUGCAGAAGGGGUUCAGUUAGAUGCUGAUUCACUGGUUGAUUGACAGAGCACACAGAACCCCUGGAACGUUGUUCCUCUGAGUAAUGCAGGCACCACGCCUGGGAACCUGCUGGGUUUGCUUAGAGGAGGUUGUCUAAUAGGUGUGCUGUUCCUCCACUCAAGCCCACUGCUCGGCACUGCCAGGCUGCGGAGAGAGCUUAGGCCCAGCAGGGGUCCGGGGAGCGCUGUCCUGGGAGAAGCCAGGGACGACCUCCUCUAGGGCGUGCAGAACAAGCAGACUUCAUGCACACGCCUCCUCUGAGUUGUAGUGUUGAGACCCAGUCUGAAGCUGUGCCUACAUUUAACUGCGAGCUGCCUCGAUUAUUAAAAUGCCCC
RNAcentral lists this long non-coding RNA (1097 nucleotides) under Oryctolagus cuniculus (rabbit). RNAcentral describes it as "lncRNA (ENSOCUG00000033308.1)". The record is from RNAcentral. Lineage: Eukaryota; Metazoa; Chordata; Mammalia; Lagomorpha; Leporidae.